Eurytemora carolleeae is the source of this 1066-nucleotide long non-coding RNA. RefSeq lists it as uncharacterized. Lineage: Eukaryota; Metazoa; Arthropoda; Copepoda; Calanoida; Temoridae. The record is from RefSeq and is a predicted model, not a curated record. The transcript has 2 exons.
AUUUCCAAAAACAAAUCAAAAAUGUUAUGAAAUAUUAACUAUAAUAUGAAUGCGUCGCAAAAUAAUCCAUGACUGUUUUUUGUUAUACAUAUCAAUAAUUAUACAAAUUAAAAAUAUCUCAAAACAAUUCAGAACUUCUGCAUCUUCUUGAGGAAUCUUGCAGCAGCACAUCCUGAAAUUAACUUAGGUUUCAGAACAGAGAUGAGGAGAAAUGACUGAGGAAAUGCCUGAAACAACUAUAGGAGGCUCGGUUAAACAUUAAAUAAAACACUGCAGACGAAGACCGCAUUUUCAAUUUAACCAGAUUAAGCCCGUACAUGAAUUUACUGUUACCGUCCUGUCUAGUGUACCCAGUGAAUUGUAGACCCAGCAUGUUUUAUGCGCAAAUAUAGACUGGCUGGAUUAUUGUGUUAUUGAGAUUUUUGCCACAAACUCUAAUUUUCUUAUUUCUAUACCUUUGCCACCCCAUGUCGUAGACCUAAGAUAUUUUAAACUUCAAGUUUAGAUCAAAAAAUCUAUAUGUAUACGUUUGAAAUAUCAAAGGUUUAAACCAUCCUAUGGCUGCACAAAUUGGAAAAUUGGAUUUUUGGGGGGAAGACCCGUUUUUCACAUUUCUACAAGAACUAGGCUUUUAUGGCAAUUCGGGCCCAUCCUAUCUUUUAACUUUUAAUUGUGGCUCUUUCUUCUCGUUGUACAGUAUAAAACAAGCUUUUGGAGACAACUUUUUGUAAUUAAGAGCAUCCAUAAACCUUCCCUGGAGUCAUGCCAGGCCCCACACUAAAUUUGGGCCCUAUCGGUUCAGCUGUUUUGUAGUUUAUUGGAUACACACAGACAAACAAACAAAUAGACACCCAGAAAGAUAAGCAAAGUAUAUUCAUAGAUGAGAAAAUGUUGGUUUGUGGCAAAGACUCUAUUCUUUUUGUGCAAAAUUGCAUUAUGUUUAAAAUUGCAUAGAUAUUAUUAGAAUUGUAUGUUUAAAGUUACAUAUGGCAAGAGUUUACAUAUAAAUAUAGUUAUCUUACACAUCGUAAUUUCUAACAAAUAAAUCAAAAUUAAAAUUUGUUUA